ACGGGUGAGUAAUGUCUGGGAAACUGCCUGAUGGAGGGGGAUAACUACUGGAAACGGUAGCUAAUACCGCAUAACGUCGCAAGACCAAAGAGGGGGACCUUCGGGCCUCUUGCCAUCAGAUGUGCCCAGAUGGGAUUAGCUAGUAGGUGGGGUAAUGGCUCACCUAGGCGACGAUCCCUAGCUGGUCUGAGAGGAUGACCAGCCACACUGGAACUGAGACACGGUCCAGACUCCUACGGGAGGCAGCAGUGGGGAAUAUUGCACAAUGGGCGCAAGCCUGAUGCAGCCAUGCCGCGUGUAUGAAGAAGGCCUUCGGGUUGUAAAGUACUUUCAGCGGGGAGGAAGGUGUUGUGGUUAAUAACCGCAGCAAUUGACGUUACCCGCAGAAGAAGCACCGGCUGACUCCGUGCCAGCAGCCGCGGUAAUACGGAGGGUGCAAGCGUUAAUCGGAAUUACUGGGCGUAAAGCGCACGCAGGCGGUCUGUCAAGUCGGAUGUGAAAUCCCCGGGCUCAACCUGGGAACUGCAUUCGAAACUGGCAGGCUAGAGUCUUGUAGAGGGGGGUAGAAUUCCAGGUGUAGCG
RNAcentral lists this ribosomal RNA (582 nucleotides) under uncultured bacterium. Its description in RNAcentral is "bacterial SSU rRNA". It matches the Rfam family "Bacterial small subunit ribosomal RNA", at positions 102 to 680 of the family's 1533-position model. The record is from RNAcentral.